UAAGGAAUAUUGGUCAAUGGGGGCAACCCUGAACCAGCCAUGCCGCGUGCAGGAAGACGGCCCUACGGGUUGUAAACUGCUUUUAUACGGGAAUAAACCCCGGAUCGUGAUCCGGGUUGAAUGUACUGUAAGAAUAAGGAUCGGCUAACUCCGUGCCAGCAGCCGCGGUAAUACGGAGGAUCCAAGCGUUAUCCGGAUUUAUUGGGUUUAAAGGGUGCGUAGGCGGCCUGUUAAGUCAGGGGUGAAAGACGGUGGCUCAACCAUCGCAGUGCCCUUGAUACUGAUGGGCUUGAUUACACUUGAGGUAGGCGGAAUGUGACAAGUAGCGGUGAAAUGCAUAGAUAUGUCACAGAACACCGAUUGCGAAGGCAGCUUACUAAGGUGUUAAUGACGCUGAGGCACGAAAGCGUGGGGAUCAAACA
RNAcentral lists this ribosomal RNA (422 nucleotides) under uncultured Pedobacter sp. RNAcentral describes it as "bacterial SSU rRNA". It matches the Rfam family "Bacterial small subunit ribosomal RNA", at positions 355 to 774 of the family's 1533-position model. Lineage: Bacteria; Pseudomonadati; Bacteroidota; Sphingobacteriia; Sphingobacteriales; Sphingobacteriaceae. The record is from RNAcentral.